This 434-nucleotide ribosomal RNA is filed under the name uncultured Lachnospiraceae bacterium. RNAcentral's name for it is "partial 16S ribosomal RNA". It matches the Rfam family "Bacterial small subunit ribosomal RNA", at positions 341 to 792 of the family's 1533-position model. Lineage: Bacteria; Bacillati; Bacillota; Clostridia; Lachnospirales; Lachnospiraceae. The record is from RNAcentral.
ACGGGAGGCAGCAGUGGGGGAUAUUGCACAAUGGGGGAAACCCUGAUGCAGCGACGCCGCGUGAGUGAAGAAGUAUUUCGGUAUGUAAAGCUCUAUCAGCAGGGAAGAAAAUGACGGUACCUGACUAAGAAGCUCCGGCUAAAUACGUGCCAGCAGCCGCGGUAAUACGUAUGGAGCAAGCGUUAUCCGGAUUUACUGGGUGUAAAGGGAGCGUAGACGGUUUGCCAAGUCUGAUGUGAAAGCUUGGGGCCCAACCCCGAAACUGCAUUGGAAACUGGUAGACUAGAGUGUCGGAGAGGUAAGUGGAAUUCCUAGUGUAGCGGUGAAAUGCGUAGAUAUUAGGAGGAACACCAGUGGCGAAGGCGGCUUACUGGACGAUAACUGACGUUGAGGCUCGAAAGCGUGGGGAGCAAACAGGAUUAGAUACCCUGGUA